Gracilinanus agilis (Agile Gracile Mouse Opossum) is the source of this 2525-nucleotide long non-coding RNA. RefSeq lists it as uncharacterized. The record is from RefSeq and is a predicted model, not a curated record. NCBI's taxonomy places the organism in Eukaryota, Metazoa, Chordata, Mammalia, Didelphimorphia, Didelphidae. The transcript has 3 exons.
UUCCAGCUGCAGGCAAUGACAGUGCCCAGGGCUCAGACGUGUCUCUCACAGCCACAGCUUGAGAGAAUGGCCUUGUGUGGAGCUGAGGAAAAAUCCUGGAGAUAUUGAAGGCUGCAUUUUCUGUUUUGUUCCUGUUGACCUCUGGCCUCUCUCCUCCUCACUGGCCCUGGAGAUUAUAAUUGACUGAUCCAACCCCAGGAAGAAUCAUGCCUGCCCUCACCCUGUUAUCUAAGAUUUCCAGGCCUUCUCUCUGCUUAUCUCAGUUUGCAGGUAACCAAUCAGCACUGAGGGCCAGCAGGGGCUAGAACUGAGCCCUCUGUGUAAGAGGAAAUUUUGUAUCCUUUAGACUUCAUCUCCCAGAAUUCCCUUUUCCUUUCUGUUUACAUGCAUCUUUUACGUGAUUAUAUGUAAUUUUUGGGUAAUGCCUCUCUUGCACUCCCUUCCACGUGAGUGGUGAGCAUUACCUGUGUUCUCCAGCUCUCUAGUUAAAUAUUAAUACAUUUUUAUAAAUAUUAUACUUUGGAGAUAUUGAAUAUUAAUUUUAAAACCUACAUUUGCCUGGCCUACGAAGGGACCCCAGAAGCUAACCUACAGGUAAGUAGGAAACCACCCCCUCCGGGUAGUCUCCCAGGCUUCCUGCCCAUGCAAAAGGCGGGAAGUCUGGCUUCCACUCCAUCUACUGCCUUUUGAUCAUUUGUCCCCUUAAUCCUUCCAGUUCUCCCCUCUUUUCUCUCCUCCCUUUCCUGUACCUUCUCCUUCCCACCCAGGUCCCCUGCAAAGCUAAGUUUCCCAGCUCCCCCCCUGAGCCCUCAGGCAAAUACUCUGAUUGACCCCCUCUCUCCUUCCUUUCCUGCUAUCCUUAUUCCUCUCCUCCACCUUUUCUACCUCCUGCUUCUUGCUACUAUCACUCUUUUCCUCUCUCUCCCUCCCUGUCUGGCCCCUGGCUGAGCCUCUCCACUCCAAGGCUCCCCAUCACCCACACCACCCCGUGCUAAUUUCAUCCCUCCUUUGGGGCAAUCCCCCAGUUCCCUGCUUCCUCCCUGCUUCUGCCCCUGCCAUUAGCUCCAGCCACUGCCUUUUUUGGUAAUUUUGGUAAUGAAAAAGCUGUCCAAGAUAUUUUUUCAAUAUAAUCCAUCCUAUAAACAUAUUAAAAAUUUGCUCAAGGCUUUUCUAACAGAAUAUAAGAAAAAUAAAAUGAUCUCUCACGUUAAUAAAGUCUGGGAGUGCAAUGCAGCACACUUCCCAUCUCAAGAUCCUGAAUUGGAUUAUAACAACCCCAAGGACUUUUUGCAAUUAUAUCGUUGUAGCCAGGUCAUUCUAAUGGCAAUUUAAGAAUGCUCCAAAAGUCCAGAUGCAUGGACCAAAUUUGAAAAUCUUAAACAAUCUGAUGAUGAGACACCCUCCAAAUUCAUUGAUAGGCUCAUUGAGCUUGGGGGUUGAUAUCUGGAUGUUGAUCUUUCUAAAGAAAGUGAUAUUAGACAAAUAAAGUGACACUUUGUCAAUAACUCUUGCAAAGUGGCCCAGAAUUACUUUAAAAUGAAUUGCCCAAGGUGGACUGAGAUGGAUCUUGAUGACUUGAGGAGAACUGCUGUUUAUGUCUCUAAAGGCCAUAUAGAAAAACAGGAAGAGGCUAAUAACUUAAUGGAAAUGUUUCAAAAAAAGUUACAUUUUUUACAUGAUAGAAUUGAUAAAUAAUAAAAAGGGCAUGAUACUCAACCAAUGGCACUUGCCCCUCUCCAAGAAUCUAAUUAUCAGUCCCUAAUAUGCCACUUCUGUGCAGAAAGGGAUCACAUUAUGAUGAACUUGAGGAACUGGAAACAAGCAAUUAGAAAUAAUAACUUCAGAAAUUACAACUUUUGAAUGAAUAACAAUUGUAGAAAUAAUAACAAUUAUGUAAAUAAUACUCCACAUCCAACUCCAAAUUAGGCAAUUGAUAACUCAUACCAAAUGACCUUGCAACAUUAUAUCUUGAGUGGAGCUUGUUCCUACUGCACCUCAGUGGGGAACCAAAGGAACUAGUCAAAAAUUAUGAAGUGUAUUGUUGGAAAUUUUGGAGUCUCUGUUCUAAAUUUCCUGUAGAAGUUUAGGGGGGUCUUCAAACUACAUUUCCCAUGAUUCCUGGCUUGCGUAAUCACGUAGGCAGGGAGCAUAACAACAUAGAGAGAAGGAUGAAGACUGAGGACUGGAUUGGUACUUUCUCUUUUGGUGAUUUGGAGUGGAACUAGAAUGGGAGGAGGUAAUAGGGCUCAGGUCUUUUAAACUGACUCUUAACAUGGCACAUGGCUUCCUUUUUCUAAUGGCUACCAACAAAUCUUUUCAAACCAUAAUAUUUUUAAAUCUAUCCUUUUAUAUCCAUUUCAUUUUUUACAGAAGGUGUAUUAGGGGUGGGGUUAGAGCACAGAAAUCAGAGGGUACAACCUUUGAUUGUCCAGACCCUGAUGUCUUACUACCCAUUGUCCCUAUCCACUGCCCCACCCCCACAUACUGAUGUGUCCCAUGUAACAUUAAAGAUUGGUAACACCUAU